This 33462-nucleotide long non-coding RNA is filed under the name Lactuca sativa (garden lettuce). RNAcentral's name for it is "long non-coding RNA (LSAT_LNC002501)". Lineage: Eukaryota; Viridiplantae; Streptophyta; Magnoliopsida; Asterales; Asteraceae. The record is from RNAcentral.
AGAUAGUUGAUUUAAAGUCCUUAAUAUGACACCCAAUAUGAAAUAUUAAGGCUAGGACCCAACAAACUAUUUUAUAACUUAGAAGAGGUAUGCCGUAAUCCAAGCUAUAAAAUAUUUGAAGGUAGGUGAAUGACGAUUCACCAAUUUCCACCAAGAUAAACGAAAUGUAUUAUUAGGUUUUAAUUGGUUUUGAAACUCCUAGAUCUUUGAGAUUCAUUGAACUUUUCAAAGGCAUGUUUCAAUCUCGAGUGUGCCCUUCAGGUUUUGUGACUGGGAUGCCGAGGAUCACAAAACAAGGUGUGAAGUAACCAUGCAAAUCACUUGGUACCCUUAAUAAAUUACCCCUCAAUCGAUGUGCCGGUUAACCACACACGCUCCAUCGAUACUAUGAUAAAUAUUAAGUCACCCUUUACCUACCUUGUUAAGUCCAAGUUAGUGUGCCGGUUAACCACACACGCUCCACUAACGACUUAGACAAAGUGUAAAGUGUAAUUUCAUGGAUUAGCACCUUAUUCACAUUUUUCCUAAGUAACUAAGAUUGGGUAUUAUUAAGAGUUUAGUUACUUAGUAUUAUCAUUAAUACUUUUAAUGAAGGGAGAAUUCUAGUCCUGUCAAACCCGUUCGGCUAACGACCCUCCACCAGUCAAGCAAGCGGUGGGUGAGAGUGGACACCCAUUAAGUUGCCAUUUUAUAGGCAACAACCUUAUACCCACCUUAUAGACCGGCUUCGUGAAUGAGGCGUACUAGCGGUAAGACUGACUUUACUCUUAUACAUAUAUAUAUUAUUAACUUAUAAUAUUAUAAAGUAUAAGGGUUGAAUUUUAACUUUUAAAAUUCUAAGGGCUAACUUGGAAUUAAAGUAUUCAUAAGUGAAAACUUUACAAAUUCCAAAACUUGAGGGCAAGUUUUGAAACUAUUCAAAACUAAUUAAUUCCAUAACUUAUGUGUUUAAAGUAGUUUUAAUCCAAAAACUCUUCAAGUUCCAUAACUUGAGGACAAGUUAUGGAAGACUUUAAACUAAUAAAAGAAUUAACUUUUCUUUAUUUUAUAACUUAUGGAAUUAAUUAAGGUUACACCUUUUUUUAUUUUAUUUUAUUUUAUUAAAUGAAGAGACUCUUGGUCCUCCAUAACUUGAGGACAAGUUAUGGAGUCAUAAAACCAUUUAAUUAGAACUAGACUCUUCAUUUUUGUAACCUUUGCCAAUUUUUAUGAGUUUUAUGAUUCUUAAAUGUGACUUUUCAUAUAACUUGAGGACAAGUUACAAAAACACAUUUUAGAAUCAAUUCUUAGAUUAAUUUGGAUUAAAACCAACUAUCACAUAAUUUUAUUCAUUAAUCUAAAUUCACUCAUAAAACAAGGUAACACAAAAAACUUUUGGUGAUCCAUAACUUAUUCUUAAGUUAUGGAAUCCUUUAAAACAUUAACACCAAAUUUUGUAACUCCAAAAAAACUUUGAAUCAAUUUUUUUUUUAAAACCUUUUCAUAUCCAUAACUUAUGGAGGUUUCAAAAAAUAAAACUCUUUAGAUCAAACUUUUAAAACUAAUAAAAUAAUCAUAUUAUUUUAUCUUUUAUUAAAUUUGACCUAAUUCAACUCAUAAAGCAAAUUAUUCAAAUUUUACAAAUAAUUAGUUUUUCACAAGAACAAGUAAUUAUCUUAAAAUUUGACGAACUUCAUGUUUUUUUUUUUUUUUUUUUUUUUUCAACUUUGAAAAUAAAAUAUUUGCAUCAAUAUAACAGAAAACAACCCGUGGCUCUGAUACCACUGUUGGGUUUUGAGCAUUCUAACACUUCCUAAGUGUACAUGCAACCCUAAAUACCUUGGAUCUAUGUUUUCUCUAUUAUACAUGCAAAUAAGAACAUCCAAGGUAUUAUCCUAAUCUGGCAUACAAAAACUAUGAAUGUAACAAGAUAGAAUAAAUACCUCUUGAUGUAGCUUGAUGUCUUCAAGCUUUAAGAGUUUAGCCCCAAUAGUGUGGAAGCCUCAAGUGGAAUCACAAAUCACCAAGACACCUUGGAAUACUUUAGAGAAUAUGAUUACUUGGUUCUCUCUAGUGAAAUUGGCUAGCCCUUCUUUAGUGUAUCCACACUAGUGCCAAUUUCACCAACCAAAGACAUCUUUAUAUAGUAUGGAGGAUUAGGGUUAAACCCUAAUACCCAUGACCUUUCAUUUCCUAGGAUCCAUGGGUUAAACACUCCAUGGACUAUCCAUGAAAGCUUAGCCCAACCUAAAUGAACUUGGCCCAUUCCAUAUAUAUAAGAGUCCAUAUUUAAUUAGUUCCUUUUGAUCACUUAAUUAAUUAUAAAUUAAUUCUUGAUCAAUACUAAUUAAAUAAUAUGAUUCCAUAUUAAUAUAUUAGAACUUAUAAUAUAUUAAUAUUAAUCAUAAACAUACUAUUCUCAAAAGAUUAUCCAUAUAAAUUGUGUCGGUGAAGUGCAACCCAAAUGGACCAUGCCGGGUCGGGUCAAGUACAUACCAAAUAUAGUUAUGGACUUAGACAUUAAUCCAACACUUCCAACUAUCAAAUAAUUACAAACUAGUCCCUACACUUUAUAAUUAAUACAAUUAACCCCAAAACUAAUUCCAAAUAACUUCUGGUUAACUAUUAAUUAAAUAUUAUGAUUUCUAAUUAAUAUAUUAUUGUAAUAACACAUUAAUAAACUAUUUAUAAUAAUUUAUUAAUCUUAUAAUAAAUUAAGUUCUCUCUUUUCAUAAUUUCCCUGUCCAAUUGCUAGGUUUGAGAGCAACCCAAAAGGAUUGUGUUGUAAUCAAUUCAAGUACAUACCAACUAUAGUUAUGGGCUUAGACACCUAAUCCUACACAAUUGGCCACCGAGCAUCAUCCGAUAUAUGCUCUGUCAAUAAUGAGACCCAUAUCAUGAUGUGCUGCCAAUCAACACAUGUAUACAAUAAAUUAAGUAUUGUUAUUAGAGGCGUACUAUGUAAUGAUCACAAGUUACAUAACAUACAUCACAUUUCAACCAUCAUACUUCACUAUCCCUAUAUAAGCUUGUCCAAAACUCAAUCCUUGAAAUACAAGUAAUAUAAGAGUGCAAAAACAACAACAAAUUAUCUUGUUCUUUUGUGUAGAGUGUGAAUGGUAAGGUCUAAAAGACUGUCCAACGGUGUCGGAUGUUGGCGUGCAACACCUUUCUUCUUCAUAUGUAUCCAUAGGGACUUACACCAUGUGGAUAUAACUUUUCCGCAUAGAAUAUUCCUGUGAGGUGUUGCAUGCAUUUUAUAUUCUUCCGAGGGAAUCACUAUUAUAUAUGGCAUGCCAUUUUAUACUGAUAUAUGCUAGGGUACAUCAUUUGUUGGCUUUCUGGUGUACCAAGCUCAUAACCAUGCUCCCAAAACUCAUUUUUUGCGGUACAAACAUAUUCCACGAUAAGUAAAUGUACGAUUCAAUAGUAUUUAAUUAUAAACAAUGCAAUGACGGGUAUACUGUAAAGUUAAAUAAGAAAAGUACGGGGGUGAAAUAUUAAAUCAUACUACCUCCACCACCUUUGCGGAACCAGCAUCAUCUCCGACAACCUUAUUAUUAAGUUUUAAAAGAAUGAAUAUCGUAGCUUUAAGUUCUAAAAAAUACAUCUCAUGUGCUUUCAACUACUCGCAAUAGUACAGAACCCAUUUUGCAACUUUGUAAUAAUUCGGUCCUUAUGACUUAAUGGUUGUAACACCAGUUCUAGGUAUAUUUCCCUUUAUGUUUUUGUCAUUUAAAGAUUAAAAUAUGAAGUUUUGGGUUGCCACGACAUGGUGGGGGAAGUAACCAUUACCUAGCCUCACUCGUUAACAAACACACAUUUUGUUGUAUGCUAAGGCGUAACAUCCAUUUUAUGCUAAACCCUCAUUUAUGGGGUUUACGCCCCUAUUUAAUAGAUGUGAUGGCUAGGGUUUUCUUAACCUGCAACCUCCAUCACAUCCUUAUCGAGCUAGAGAAAAUCCUACCCUCCAUUAUUGAACUUAUGGACUUGUGUGAUGGUUUUUGGUCAUUUAAAGCAUAAGAAGGUAUCUUUGGUGAAUCGUUACAGCAAGCAAAUCUCCUCCUCAUCAUCUUAUGUUGUUUCUAAACAUUUGUAAGUCCUCAAUCUUCUUAUUUUUGUUUUGAAGCAUGCUAUAUCUAUGCUUUUAUGCAUUUUCUCCAUGUUUGGUAACAUUUGAGUUGAUGGAUUCCAUAAAUUUGGCAACUUCAUGGAUCCUUUAAUGUUCUAGAUUUGAUGAUGGUUCAGUUUUGGUUCCAUGCAUGAGGUUUUGAGCAUAUUUUUACCCUUUUUGACCUAACCAAGUUCAAUACACGCAUCAGACAUGCAUGUACAUAUAUUAAGGGUUUAUAUGAAGCUAAUGAGUGUUAGGAAGCUUUUUUUGAAGAGAUGAGAGUGUGGCUUAAUGGAUUAAGGGAUUAAUCCAUUAAGAUGUACAGAAGCAACUCCCAUGACAUGACAUCUUGUUCUCGACGAUGUGGUCGAGGGAGUUCUUCAUGAAUGAUCGUUUGGGUUACUACCACGCGGUUUUGGCAUGCUUUCCAUGGCACGAUGGCUGGUCUGGUCGAGACUAUUUCAUCGUGGGGUGGCCAUGAUGUGGUGGUAAGCUAUUAACGGCUGACUUUUUGAGCAAGUUUACUAUUCACCAAUUUGAGGUUUUAUGUGUUGUAGAUUGAGUAUUGGUUCAUUUUUGUGGUAUAGGUGACUCGUAGUACCAGUUCUUGGAUAUGUGUGAGUUUUUUUGUUUAUUUGCUAGAUUGCAAGGUGAGUUUUCUACCUAUACUAUGUACUACAAUAUGUAUCCUUGUGUGUAGGAUGUUGGUAUGUUGUAGUGAUCUAUUAGACUGGUAGGCUUGUUAUAAUUACUUGUGUCUUGUUGGUUAUUUUUUUUAUCUAAUUACAUAUGGUAACAUAUUAUGGUUAAGUUGAGGCAGUUCUGCUUUGUCCUGUAAGUGAAGAUACCCGGGCGGUCCAUGUAUACUGCAUGCCUUGUGAGGCGGUGCAAUCAGACUAUCAGCCUAUAGGAGUGGUCCAUCUAUAUGAUGUAGUCUUAGGAGAGUGGUCCAAGUGUAUCAAGGCCUUACGAGGCGGUUCAGUCAGACUGUAGUCUUAUGUGUGCAUGCGUUGUAUGUGUAUUGUUGUGUGGGGUAUUUUGGGGAAACUCACUAAGCUUUGGCUUAUAGUUGUGGAUCUAAAUAUUUUAGGUACUUUAGAGGAUCGGGGAAAAGUACAGGCAUGAUCGUACACAUCAUCCUAUUGAUUUUUACUUGAGAUAUGUUAUCGAUACUCCGAUUUGCUUUAUUAUGUUUUGAAACAAUGAUUUUGAUAAUUUAUGGUUUUUAUAGAAAUGUCUUUUGAAAACGAUAAAAAUUAGUAUGGUUUUUGGGAAGUUACAAGUUGGUAUCUGAGCCUUAUUUUGAGGGAUUUCGAUGAACAACCAUGUGAUUCCAGACUCAAACUAUGGAUCCACAAAAGGUUUUUCAUAAAUAAUUUCUAAAUAACUAAGAAAUGAGGAUGUGAUGUGUACAAUCAACCGGAGCUCAAGAGAAAGUUAUUCCUACAGAUUCCUACACUUGUUAUAUGUAUAUUUGUAAUAUGUUAAGUGUUAUAAUUGAAUGCUAGUUUAUAGGCUAGAGAUCUUCAGUAAUUGCAAGACAGAAUUUCAUGAUUUAGGAUGCUUGAUAGCCUGAGGAUUUCUUGUUUUGCCAUAUGAAACAAACAUUAUUGUUGUAGUUGCUAAGUGUAUGCAUCAUGAUUUUACAUAACUUAGAUUUUAUAGUUUUAUAAUAUUUGAUUUAGCCUUAUUUCCUGUUCCUUGUUUGAUUGUAGGCUUAGGGUAGAAUCAAUUAUUCGACUGUCUAUUGAAUCUGGCAUUAUGUAUGAUUAGCAUACGCAAGACGAAUUCAGUGUUAGUGAAGGUUUCAUGAUUUGGUUGUGUAAAUGUUAGAGUACUAGUACACGUAAGGAAUUGGUAGUUACUCUUGUGAGAAUGGGUGCAGGGUGUAUGUGUACCCUAGUUUCUCUGGGCCUAGUAGCCCAGGAUUUUCAUGGCGAUCCUCUGAAACAAAUAUAGGUAGGUGUGGAAAGUAGUAUGUUCCUGUACUACUGAAAGCUCAAGACACAUAUAUGUAUCAAGGAAGUCACGGGUUCGAAGGGAUGAGUAGUCGAGUAUAGAUGUGUUAAGGUAUAAUGUGAUUUUUUUGACUUGUUCCGGUUUAUUUCCAGCAUGGUGACUACGAAAGGUUCAGGAUCAGCUGGGCCAGAGAGGCCAGGGUUGGGUGAGGAUGAGAUGAAUAAACUGAUCACUACUCAAGUGACUUUGGCAGUUAGGGAGGCAAUCCAAAAGGUGUUUUGGUCUAUCAAAUCCAUUUUGAUAUAGAUGUUUGAUGAGCGUUAUGUUAUUGUCCUUGAGGCUGCUGCCACCAUAGUCAAUGCAGCCAUCACAGUAGUAGGACUUCAAGGAGGAGGGUCUAUGCAGUAAUAGGAGCUCAUAAACAUAAAGCCCCCAGAGUUCGAUUGGUUCAAGGACCCAAUUAAUGAUAUGAGAUGGAUAUAUGAUGUUGAGGGAUGUUUUUACACAUGUUCAUGUUUAGAAAACCAGAAGGUGAAGUUGACAUAGAACCUUCUUCACUUUGGGGCAAAACACUUGUGGAAGUUUGGCACUCAAGUAUUUUCUACUAUAGAGUGGGCCGUCGUUACAUGGGAGUAGUUUACAUAGAUGUUUUAUAAAUAUAUAUAUAUAUAUAUACAGAGAAAGAGAGAUUAACUCAUGAGCUUAUGUCCCUAAUGCAGACAACGGAAUCCGUGACGAAGAUCACCAAUAUGUUUACUUAGUUAGCCCUCUUUUUUCCCAAGUAUGCUGCUUUGGAGCAGGUUUAGAGGUCAAUAUACUUUAGGAUGCUUAAGACGUAGAGUUGGGAGUUUGUGUCAACUUUUUAGUUCCAUUCCCUUUCAGAGUUGUAGUGCUUUUCCUGGAGGAAGGAGAUUUAGAUUGAGACCCAGGUGAGAGAGAACAUGAAGGCCUUAGUCCAUAAUAAUCCUAUAGCUAAGCGGUUUAAGCCCAUUGAUUCCCAAUCCGGAGGGCAGAGAGGCCACACUUAUGACAAGUGCAUGAAGGUGCACGAGGGAGUGUGCUUUUUAGUAACCAGGUGCCACAAGUGCCAAUAAUAGACACUCUUUUAUAGAUUGUUGUUAGCAGCAGCAGCCCCUACCAUAGCACACUCGAAUUUGUUAUCAUUGUGAUUACGUUGGCCAUGUACAAUACAUAUAUCCAUUUCUUGCUUCUAGGUUCGUGUAGGAGCGAACUCUUACUACUCUUCGGUUCACGGAUGGCCUUCAAGGGAGGCUUGAGGCCCCAGAGUUAAGAGGUUGUGCAUUUUAGCUGACUGUUGGGGAUGCCAGGGCAGCUCCCGACCUGAUUACUAGUAUGCAUUAAUUUAUAUUCUGUCAAAUUAAUUUCUAAAUUCUUGCAUUUAGGUUUCAUUUACAUUCCUUCUUAGUGAAUUCGUUUCCUGCUCUGGUGCUUUUGGACUCGGUUGCUAGUCAUUCUUUUGUGUCUCAGUCUUUUAAAUGGGAGUUUGAUAUGACUCGUGGGGAUUUGGUGUGUCUGUUGCAAUUUUUCAUCACCUACUAUCAUAAAGUUUUUGCUUCGAGCGUCUUUUAUGCCUUUUACUUAGAGAUAUUCAUGGUGCCCUACCCGAUUGACCUGACUCGUAUCCCUGUGGGGGAUGUGUGUGUGAUGGUAGAGAUGAAUUGGCUAAGCAAAUUUGGAGCUGUGAUUGACUAUGGGAGGCAGUUAGUGGUGGUUGGAACCCCAAGCAGGGGAGAACUAACCAUCAAUGGUGAGGGUACUAGGUUUGGUUCAACUUUCUGAUCUACUGCCAGGGUUAGGCAGUAUCUGCAACAUGUAUGUUCAGGUUAUCUCGCAUAUAUGGUCGACACCCGAGCUGAGAAGAAGAACUCAAUAUUGGAUGUGUCAGAGGUUAGGGAGUUUCCGGAUGCUUUUGAGAAAUAUUGACUUGGUGCACCUCUAGUGAGGCAGGUGGAAUUUAGGAUCGAUUUGAUCCCCGAUGUGUCCCCAAUUACAAAGGAGUUGUUGGGCAAGAGUAUCCAAUUGAGAAUUAAACCUUGGGGAGCAUCUCUUUUAUUUGUGAAAAAGAAGGACAGGUCUCAUGGAAUAUGCAUAGAUUAUCAUGAGUUGAAAAAAUUGGUUGUGAUGAACAAUUAUCCACUUCCGAGGAUUGAUGACCUCUUCGAUCAACUACAUGGUACAUUUUGGUUCUCCAAUAUUGAUUUGAUGUUGGGAUACUACCGGAUGAUAUUCAGAGAGGAGGAUGCGGAGAAAAGAGCUUAAGAACUUGAUAUGGUCACUAUGAGUUCAUAGUGAUGUCCCUUGGGCUCACCAAUGAACCUGCAUCAUUUUAUUGAUUUGAUGAAUCGAGUAUGCAGGCCAAUGCUUGAUCGGUUGAUCAUUAUGUUUAUUGACGAUAUUUUGGUCUAGUCUAAGACCAAACAACAGCAUGAGGAGUAACUACAAGAGUAAAGGAGAGGUUAUAUUCCAACUUCAGCAAGUGUGAGUUUUGAUUAUAAGAGGUCCAAUUCUUGGGACACCUCAUCAAUCAGAAUAGUAUUCUAGUCGAUUUGGACAAAAUUAAGGUUGUUAUGCAGUGGGAGGUCACGAAGCUUCCAUUUGAGAUCUGAAGUUUUCUUAGGCUAGCAGGUUACUAUCGAACAUUUAUCCAUGAUUUCUCCAAGAUUGUUGUUUUUCUCACUCACCUGACCAAGAAGAGUCUGGAUUUAUGUUGGGGGCCUGAGCAGCAGGUUACAUUUGAGACUCUAAGACAAAGAAUCCCUGAUAUUGACCCUUCCAGAUAGUGUUGAGGACUUUGUGUUGUAUUGUAAAUCUUUGAUCAUAGGUUUAGAGGCGAUGCUCUGGCAAUGAGGUAGGGUUAUUGCACAUGCUUCUAGGAAUAGAAGCCUCACAAGGCUAUGUAUCUGACGCAUGAUCUAGAGUUAGGGGCAAUGGUGUUUUCUCUCAAAAUUUGGAGACACUAUCUUUAUGGUGUAUGAUGUACCAUAUACACUAACCAAAAAAAAAGAAUGAGAUAUCUUAUGGACCAGAUGAACCUAAAUAUGAGGUAGCGUAGGUGGCUUCAUGUGGUCAAGGAUUAUGAUUAUGUGAUCCUUUACCAUCCAUAGAAUGUCAAUGUGAUCGUUGAUUCCUUGAGAUGCAAGAUGGCUAGUGCUCCUAUCUGAGGCUUAGGAUGACCAUCAAUUCACUACUUCAUGAUUUGACCAAAGAGGCUCUGGAAGAGGGAAUCAAGAAGGAGAACUUGAAGAAGGGGAAGAACAUGGGGUGAUUGACUGAUUCGUCACCGACGUUUGGGGGUUUUUGACCCAAUGUCAAUGUGUUUGGGUUCCAGUUUCCGGUGGAGUCUGUUGUUACAAAAGGCACAUAAGUCCAUGUUCUCGAGUCACUAUGGAGCCAUGAAAAUGUAUUCAUACUUGAGGCUUAGCUAUAGGUAGCUUAUCGGUUACAUCUACAUUAGGAGUUGUGUAACAUCCCGAGAUUUUCCGGGUAUUUCCGAACCUUCUUCUAUCAUUAUCGGGUCAUAUGUAGUCCUUGGGGUUGGAAGUGUAGAGCCAAGAUAAGUUUAAGGGCAAAAGUUGCAACCUUCAGCCAGGAAUGAGUACGUUGCGCGUACAUAAGCGUACGCUAAGCAUACUAAGGUCUGCCUUAGUACGCUGGGCGUAACUUGUGUAUGCUAGGCGUACUAAUGUCUUGUUGAAACCGUAAUAUUUCGAGUUGGGGGCUAUAUAAACAUCCUUAUGGCUCCUUCUCUCAUCAUUCUCAGCCUCCGUCUUUCAGAAAUGUCCCAAACCCUAGCUUUGUGUGUGAGUGUGAGUUAGUGUGUGUUUUGAGCUCUUGAAGGUGAAGUCUUUGCAACAAGUAGUUCGAGAAGUAAGGCCAACUUGUAGAUCUGAAGUUUUCUUGUACUUUAGGAACUCUAGAAGGUAAAAAGCUUCUAGCUUGGCAACUAUUUUGAGUAGAUCUAGUAUUAUUUAGGUUCUUGCCACAUUUCUUGUCCCAAAAACCCGAAUAUGGUGCCUGAUGAAUCUUGGUCAUAUUAAGCUGUCCUUCCAGACCCUAGAAAGGGUCCUAAGUGAUAAAAAUAAGGUCCCAAUAGCUAAAUGUGUCCCAAGCAUGGAAUAAGAAGGUCUUAAUGGAUUAAUACCAAGUAUUAAGAGCUUUCUAGACGUCCAAAGUAAUAAAGUUUGUAACUUUAUGGGUCCUAGGCACAUUAGGUCUCUGGAUUUGAAGUUUGGGCUUAAGUGCUUAAGCCAUUAAGUGCUUAAUAAGAUUUUGGCAAGACACUGUGUACGCCCAGCAUAAAUCCAAUACACCCAGCGUACUGGGUCAACCACCCCGAUGAUGGUCAACAUCUGAGCAAGUGCGCCCCGCGUACCAGAGAAGUACGCCCCACGUACGUCCUCUGUUGGGCCUUUGACUUUUUGGCUUUGAGUUUUGGGUUAUUUAUGGACUAAUUGGGUUUUGGCCUUUGCUAGAGUUUAUGAAUAUAAUGUUUUGGGCCAAGCAUUGGAUAUUGGAUCUUGGGUUUAGGCCCAAUUAGGGAGUUGGGCUCAAUUUGGUAAAUUGGGCCAAUAAUGCGCCUUAUAAAUGGACUUUUUAAGUUAUGGACUUGGUAUUGGGCCUUGGACCAAUAAAGAGAAUGGACAUGAUGGAUUGUGUGGACACAUAGUCAAGACUGUAAUGUUGAGUAUUAACUUAGUGUUUAUUAUGUGAUAGUUUGGGAUUCCCGGUGAGACAACAGUCAGGGAUUUCUAGUAUUUCGACACUACUUGCGAGGUAAGUUACCUCACUAUACUAAGAGGUCUAAGGCACCAAUGCCGACCCAUUGGAUAUGAUAUCCUAGUUUUUGAUAGUAUGUUGAGUAUGAGUCAAUGUUGCAUGUUAGUUGGUAUGCAAGAUAGAUAGAUUUGUAGGACUAGUUGUAGUAUUGUGUGAUUAUCUGUAUGUGCAUUUGUUGUGUUAUAUGUCGACAUAUUAUGUGGGAUGGGUUGAGGUGAUACUGCUUUGUGCGGUAACCAACAAACCCGAGAGCAUUCCAGAUACGAGUUGAGAGAGACUCGUAUUGUGGGCUCGAUGACAAUCCAGAUGUGAGUUGUGGGCCUAGAAUGCCAUCCAGACUCACACUGUGUGCCCAGGGGUAAUCCAGUCUGUAAAGCUGUGGACCCAGUAUAUGUUGUUAAUUGUAUAUGUGUUAUGUGCAGUGUAUCGCUAUUUUGGGGGAACUCACUAAGCUUUCGGGCUUACAAUCUCAGUUUAUUGUUUCAGGUACAUCAGGGGAUCGCGGCAAGGCAAAGGCGUGACCGUACAAAUUCUGAUGUUUUGUUUAUGUUUCUAGGAAAACUCUGAUAUUAUACAUUUUGAAAACAAGUUUGUAAUGACUUAAUGAUUUUGAAAUGCUUUUAAAAGUUCAAAUUUGGCAUGAUUUUUAUAGGUGUUACAAGUUGGUAUCAGAGGCUUGGUUUGAGUGAAUUGGAGGUACAUUCGUGCGAAUCCAGUCUCAAACCAAGGAAGGAUUUUCAAAAUAAUUUUAAAAUGGUUUUCAAAAUGAUAAAAGGAGUAUACAGGGUGUGUGAUCAGCCGGAGCCAGUAAGUGGACCCCAAAAUACCAUACUGUUAUUUGAUAUUGUCAUAUGUUUGAACAACAUGCUACUACUAUGCUAGGGAUCUUUUGGAAUUGCAUAAUAGAAUUGUCUGAUUACAUGAUGCCUGCUAGCCUAGGAUUUUCCUUAUAUGAGAUUGACAUCAUUAUUGUACUAGCUUGUGUAUGUAUCAUGGUUGUACAUAAUUAAGAUCUUAUAGCCUGAGAAUGUUUGAUUUAGCCUUAUAUUCUGUUCUUGUUGAUUAGGGACUUAGGGUAGGAUCAAAUAUUUGAAAGUAUAUAGGACCCAACGUUAUGUAUGGCUAGCAUACACUAGUGCUGCAGGGUUGGUGGAAGUUUCAUGGAUGGAUGGGUUGUGUGAGACCGGUAGGUCAGUUGUGAGACAGUUAGCCUUCCUCUAGGAGUGAGGUUGAGUUACCACCACGUGUAUGUAUAUUCUUAGGGAUUUUUGGUUAUACUUGGGAUAAAUAUGGGUAGGUGUGGAAGGUAGUAUGGGCCCGUACUACUGAAAGCACAGGACCCAUACGCGUAGAAAGGAAGUCACAACCCCUAGGGUUUAGUUGGAAGUUGGUCCCCUGCUAUUAUGUGAGUUAUCUGAUAUAUUUUCAUAUGUUUUCAGAAUGGUGAUGACGAGACACUUUGAGACUGGAUCCGGUUCAGGAUCUGGAUCAGGAGACUGAGGCCAGGAGGGGCCAGCAGCACCUGAGGUUGUGGUGCAGAUGGGGAUAGACAAGUUAGAUGCCAGGAUUCGAGAUAUCCUGCAUGAUGAGGGUGCCACUUUGUUCCGGACACAACUGCCAGAGAUGUUUGGGUCUAUUAAGACCGCCAUGGUUGAGUACUUUAAUAAGCAAUACGCAACCCAUGCAGAGACUGUUGCCGUUGCAAUUGCAUCGGCUGUAACAGCGGAAGGAGGAGGAAUAGGGGCCAGUCGAGGCUUUCAGUACAAGGACUUCGAUAACACAAAGCCCCCUAAUUUUGAUGGGACUUAGGACCCCAUCAAGGGCAUGAGGUGGGUUUUUGAUAUGGAGGGGUAUUUCUUUACUUGCUCGUGUCCUACUAACCAGAAGGUCAGGUGUGCCCUGAACCUGCUCAGGUCCCGGGCCAAGGACUGGUGGAGAUUCAUGACUGGGCCAUACACUGAUGAUUAGAGAGGUGCUAUUACUUGGUAGAAGUUCAUGGAUAUGUUAUGCACCCGUUACAUUCCACGGGUUGAGUGGGAACGUUUGGCUCAAGAGUUUUUGAGUUUGAGAUGGGACGGGGAAUUGGUGACGAAGAUCACCCGCAUGUUCACAGAGAGGGCGAUGUUCUGCCCAAAGUUUGCUUCCGAGUAGGCUCAGAUGACACCUUAUAUGAGCAUGCUCAAGACUGACAUCCAUCAGUUUGUGUCUACCCAACGAUGUGAUACUCUUCUGGAGUUGCAGGAGGCCACUAGGCGGCAUGAGUUGGAGAUUGAGCUGCAGUUGAGGGAGCAACGGCAGGCCUCAAGAUAGUUGCAGCCGGCGCCAAAGCGGUCUAGGACGGCUGAUUCUAGGAUCGGGAGUCAAUAGAGCCGCACUUGAGGAAAGUGAGGCAAGGGUCAUUUUGGGGUUUGUCGAGCUGGUAAUGGGUGCCACAAGUGUGGAAAGGAGGGGUAAUAUGCGAAGGAUUGUCGCCAAGCCGCCCCAAGUCCGAGUAUGAGGUUAUGUUAUCACUGUGAUCAGGUUGGCCACUUGAAGACCAACUGUCCGUUUCUUGUCGCUAAGCCAGCGCAAGCUCCCGCACCGGCUACAUUGAAGAUUCCGGAUGGGAGGUCAGUUAAGGCAGAGCCUCCAAAGGCUCAGGGGCAUGCCUUCCAGCUUACAGCCAAGGAGGCCAUAGCAGCACCAGACGUGGUUGUUGGUAUGUUUAUAUCCUCUAUUUCUUUUAUUAUAUUUGUUUUAUGCUUAUCUGUUGUACUUGUGAUUAGGUACGUUUUUAGUGAACUCUCUGUCUGCUUUGGCUUUAUUUGACUCAGGGGCGAGUUAGUUGUUUGUAUCUCAGACAUUUAGUAGGGAGUUCAGUGUGCCAGUAGGCGAGCUAGAGUGUCCGUUGCGAGUCUCUAUUGCCAACGAACACGAGGUUUCUGCUUCUUCGAUCUACCGAGUAUGUGAGUUGGAGAUCUUCGGGGUAUCCUUCCCAAUAGACUUGAUUCCGAUCCCUAUGGGGGAGGUGUGCAUGAUUGUGGGGAUCGAAUGGAUUAGUCGAUUCGGUGUCGUGAUUGAUUGCGAGCGUCAGCGGGUGGUAGUUCGAACCCCAAGUGGGGGAGAACUGACUGUAUAUGGCGAGGGCACCAGAGUGGGAUAAGGGUGUUGUUCAGCUGCCAGGGAUCGGCAGUAUAUUCAGCACGAGUGUGUGGGUUAUCUAGCGUAUGUGGUGGAUAUGCGGGUCAGAGAUCAGACUCCAGUUUUAGAGGUUCCAGUGGUUAGAGAAUUUGUAGAUGUGUUCCCAGAGGAGUUGCCAAGGAUACCUCCGGAGAGGCAGGUCGAGUUCCGGAUCGACCCGGUGCUAGGUGUGACACCUAUCGCCAAGGAACCGUACCGACUGGCGCCACCCGAGAUGCGGGAGCUGGCGCCACAGCUGCAGGAACAGCUGGGUAAGCAGUUAAUUCAAUCAAGCAGUUCUGCAUGGGGAGCACCGAUCCUCUUCCUCAGGAAGAAGGACGGUUCGUACCGGAUGUGCAUAGAUUAUAGGAAGUGAACAAGUUGAUGGUGAAGAACCGUUAUUCACUCCCGAGGAUAAAUGAUCUCAUUGAUCAGUUACAGGGUGCAUCUUGGUUUUCCAAGAUAGACUUGUGGUCGGGAUAUCAUGAGGUCCGGGUCAGAGUGGAGGACGUGGAGAAGACCGUGUUUCGGACUCGCUAUGGACAUUACGAGUUCGUGGUGAUGACGUUUGGGCUCACCAAUGCGCCAACAGUAUUUAUGGACCUGAUGAAUCAGGUUAGCAAACCGAUGCUUGAUCGCUCGAUCAUCGUGUUUAUAGAUGAUAUCUUGUUGUAUUCCAAGAUCCGAGAGCAACAUGAGGAGCACCUUAGGGAGUUGUUGGGAGUUUUGAGAUGGGAAUGGUUGUAUGCCAAAAUUGAGGUCCAGUUCCUCGGACAUCUCGUUAACCAGGAGGGGAUUUUGGUCGACCCAGCCAAAAUUGAGGCAAUCAUGUAGUGGGAGGUGUCGACAUCUCCUUCAAACAUCAGGAGUUUUUUGGGAUUGGCAGGGUACUACCUGAGAUUCAUACCAGAUUUCUCCAAGAUUGCAGUACCCCUCACUCAUCCGAUGAGGAAGGGGGUGGAUUUCUGGUGGGGCCCUGAGCAGUAGAUGGCGUUUUAGACCCUCCGACAGUGUUUGUGCGAGGCUACGAUUUUGUAUCUCUCGGAGGGAGUCGAGGAUUUUGUGGUGUUCUAUGAUGCGUCCAUCAUAGGUUUUGGGGCAGUCCUCAUGCAGAGAGGACGGGUCAUAGCCUACGCAUCGUGACAGCUGAACCGCCUAAGAAGAGAUACCCUAUGCAUGAUCUGGAGUUGGGAGCGAUGGUUUUUGCUCUCAAGAUUUAGAGACAUUACCUCUAUGGGGUCCUCUGUACCAUAUACACAGAUCACAAGAGCCCGAGACACAUCAUCGAUCAGCUGAAACUGAACAUGAGAGAGUGCAGGUGGCUGGAUGUAGUCAAGGACCACGACAACGAGAUCCUUUACCACCCCGGUAAAGCGACUGUGGUGGCAGAUGCUCUGAGCCGCAAGUUAGCUGGGUCUUCCACCCCAGUGGUAUGUAUGAGGAUAGCAGUGGAUUCUCCAAUUGUAAGUUUGAUCAGGGAUGCUCAUAUUGAGAGCAUGCGACCAGAGAAUUGAAAACUAGAGAGGAUUAGGGGUGAGAACACCCGGUUUGUGUAGGAUAGCCAGGGAUUAUUGACCCAACGCGGUCGGGUAUGGGUUCCGAUGUCUGGUGGGGUCAGACAGACAGUGAUGGAGGAUGCUCAUAAGUCUCACUUCUCUAUUCAACCGGGGGCCACCAAGAUGUAUUAGGAAUUGAGCUUAAUUUACUGGUGGCCGUGCAUGAAGCGAGAAAUCGCUUGGUAUGUCGAGAGGUGCUUGACAUGUAAGAUGGUCAAGGCCGAGCAUCAGAGACCACAUGACAAACUGCAGCCCCUGGAGAUUCCCAUGUGGGAAUGGGAACAAAUCACGAUGGACUUCAUUACCAAGUUGCCGAGGACGACGAAGGGGUUUGAUGCUAUAUGGGUCAUCGUGGAUCGAUUAAUCAAGAGUGCCCAUUUCUUGGCUAUACGAGAGAGUUUAUCGACCGAGAAGUUGGCCGAUGUGUAUGUCUGCGAGAUCGUCGCUCGCCACGGGGUUCCGGUCUCCAUUGUUUCUGACCGAGAUGUUAGAUUUACCUCCUGUUUUUGGCAGAAGUUCCAUUAGGAACUGCACACGCGGAUGCACUUUAGCACAACAUUUCAUCCGCAGACCGACGGUCAUAUUAAGAGGACCAUUCAGACCCUCAAGGAUAUAUUGAGGGCUUGUGUCAUUGACUUCGGUGGGAUUUGGGAUUCCUACCUACCGUUUGCGUACUUCGCCUACAACAACAACUAUCAUUCCAGCAUUAGCGCCCCGCCUUUCAAGCUGUUGUAUGGUCAGAGAUGUCGCACCCCGGUUUGUUGGGGUGAGGUCAGACACACGGUGAUGGAACGGAUGGAGGUAGUCUUCCAGACUACCGAGAAGAUUCAACAGAUUAGGCAGCGACUGCAGACUACUCAACGUCGGCAGAAGAGUUACGCCGACAGAUGCCUAUAUGAGUUAGAGUUCCAUGUUGGUGACAUGGAACUCCUGAAGGUCUCACCCUGGAAGGGUAUGAUCCACUUCAAGAGGAGGGGGAAAUUGGUUCCCCAAUACAUUGGGUCAUUCAGGAUCGUUUCCAAGGUUGGCAAGGUGGCAUAUAGCUCAAAGCUACCAGAGGAGCUCAGUGGUGUCGUUGGAUGAUAUUCAGGUCGAUGAGCGCCUGAAUUACAUGGAGAGGCCCAUGGCUAUACUAGAGAGGAAGAUGAAGGUACUACGGAACAAGGAGAUACCUUUGGUAAAGGUACAGUGGGAGCAUCAGAGGGGAUCUGAGUGGGCAUGGCAGCCCGAGUCUGAGAUGUGGGAACAUUACCCUGAUCUAUUUACCACAGCCGACUUGAAGGACGAAGUAUAAGUCAAAUGGGAGAGAAUUGUAACAUCCCGAGAUUUUGCAAGUAUAUCUGAACCCUCUUCUAACAUUAUAUGAUCAUUUGUAUUACUUGGGGUUGCAAGUGUAGAGCCAAUAUAAGUUUAUGGGCCAAAGUUGCCACCUUGGGCCAAGAAGGAGUACGAUGCGUGUACAUAAGCGUAUGCUAAGCAUACUAAGGUCCGCCUUAGUACGCUGGGCGUCACUUGUGUAAGCUGGGCAUCACUUGUGUACGCUGGGCGUACUAAUGUCUUGUUGAAACCCUAAUAUUUCGAGUUGGGGGCUAUAUAAACAUCCUUAUGGCUCAUUAUCUCUCAUCAUUCUCAGCCUCCAUGUUUCAGAAACGUCCGAAAACCUAGGUUUGUGUGUUAGUGUGAGUUAGUGUGUGUUUUGAGCUCUUGAAGGUGUCUUUGCAUCAAGUAGUUGAAGAAGUAAGGACAACUUGUAGAUUUGAAUUUUUCUUCUCUUGGGGGCAAAACAUUAGUGGAAGUUUGGCACUCAAGGAUUUUCUACUAUGGAGUGGGCCGUCGUGACAUGGGAGUAGUUUACAUAGAUGUUUUGAACUGAGUAUUUUCCACUAAGAUAUAUAUAUAUAUAUAUAUAAAGAGAGAGAGAGAGAGAGAGAGAUAGAGAUAGAUUAACUCAGGAGUUUAUGUCCCUAAUGCUGAUGACGGAAUCCGUGAUGAAGAUCACCGACAUGUUUACUUAGUGAGCCCUCUAUUUUCCCAAGUAUGCUGCUUUGGAGCAGUUUUAGAGGUCGUGAUACUUGAGGAUGCUUAAGACAUAGAGUCGGGAGUUUGUGUCGACUUUGUAGUACCAUUCCCUUUUAGAGUUGUAGUCCUUUUCCUGGAGGAAGGAGAUUGAGAUUGAGAGCCAGGUGAGAGAGAACUGGAAGGCCUCAGUCCAGAAUAAUCCUAUAGCUAAGCGGUUUAAGCACGUUGAUUCCCAAUCCACAUGACAGAGAGGCCACACUUAUGGCAAGUGCGUGAAGGUGCACGAGGGAGUGUGUUGUUCAGUAAUCGGGUGUCACAAGUGCUAAUAACAAACACAAUUUUAUAGAUUGUCGUCAGUAGCAGCAACCCCCACCAUAGCACACUCGAAUUUGUUAUCAUUGUGAUUACGUUGGCCAUGUACAGUACAUCUAUCCAUUUCUUGCUUCUAGGUUUGUGUAGGAACGAACUCCUACUACUCUUCGGUUCGCGGAUGGCCUUCAGGGGAGGCUUGAAGCCCUGAAGGUUAGAGGUUGUGCAUUUUAGCUGACUGUGGAGGAUGCCAAGGCAGCUCCCAACCAGAUUACUAGUAUGCAUGAAUUUAUAUUCUGUCAAAUUAAUUUCUAAAUUCUUGCAUUUAUGUUUCAUUUACUUUCGUUCUUAGUGAAUUUGUUUCCUGCUCUGGUGCUUUUUGACUCGGUUGCUAGUCAUUCUUUUGUGUCUCAAUCUUUUAAAAGGGAGUUUGAUAUGACUCGUGGGGAUUUGGAGUGUCUGUUGCAAUUUUUCAUCACCUACUAGCAUAAAGUUUUUUCUUCGAGCGUCUUUUAUGGCCUUACCUUAGAGAUAUUCGUGGUGCUCUACCCGAUUGACUUGACUCCUGUCCCUGUGGGGGAUGUGUGUGUGAUGGUAGGGAUGAGUUGGCUAAGCAAAUUUGGAGUUGUGACUUACUAUGAGAGACAGUUAGUGUAGGCCUGGCAACCGUGUCGUGUUCGGGUUGGCGUGUCGCGGGUUGGCGUGUCAAAAUAUGCUAACCCAAACACGACCCAUUUAAAUAUACAGGUCACGGGUUGGCGGGUCACGUGUUGGCGGGUUUGGAACAUAAACCCAUAUAUGACCCGCCAACCCAUUUAUUUAUACGGGUUCACAGGUUGGCUAGUUUGUGGGUCAGAUUUGGGUUCGUGGGUCCGAAUUUUAGACAUUUAAGUCUUAAACAUCCAAAUGAAAAUUAUAAACAUUCAUAGAAACAUGUUACAGACUUAGCCUUAUAGGUUACGACUUACGACCUUAGACCAUUCACCACGAGUCAAAAUGUCAAAACAGUCAAAUGGUCUAUGAAUCAAUGGUAUAUAUUGUAUAAUACUUAUUAAAUAUUCAUACUUGAUACAUAAAUACAUUUAAAAGUAAAAUAAUUUCUUUGUUAAGAAUAUAAACGGGUUGGCGGGUCAAGCCGUUUAUUUUUUGAGAAACUCAUAUAUGACCCGUUUAAUAAACAGGUUGGCGUGUUGACGGGUUAGCGGGUUGGCGGGUUGAAAAACUCAACCCAAACCCAUUUAUUUCGUGUCGUGUCGCGUGUCGUGUCGAGAAUUGCCAGCCCUAAGUUAGUGGUAGUUGGAACCCCAAGCAGGGGAGAACUAACCAUCAAUGGUGAGGGUACCAGGGUUGGUUCGGCUUUCUGAUCUACUACUAGGGUUAGGCAGUAUCUGGAACAUGUAUUUUCAGGUUAUCUCGCAUAUGUGGUCGACAAACAAGCUGAGAAUAAGAACUCAAUUUUGGAUGUAUCAGACGUUAGGGAGCUUCCGGAUGCUUUUGAUAAGUACCGACUCGGUGUACCUCUAGUGAGGCAGGUGGAGUUUAGGAUCGAUUUGAUCCCUGGUGUGUCCCCAAUUACAAAGGAGUUGUUGGGCAAGAAAUGUAUCCGAUUGAGAUGUAUACCUUGGGGAGCACCCUUUUAUUUGUGAAAAAUAAGGACAGGUCUCAUUGAAUGUGCAUAGAUUAUUAUGAGUUGAACAAAUUGAUUGUGAUGAACCAUUAUCCACUUCCGAGGACUGAUGACCUCUUCGAUCAACUACAUGGUACAUUUUGGUUCUCCAAUAUUGAUUUGAUGUUGGGAUACUACCAGAUGAUAUUUCAGAGAGGAGGAUGCGGAGAAGAGAGCUUACGAACUUGAUAGGGUCACUAGGAGUACGUAGUGAUGUCGCUUGGGCUCACCAAUGAACCUGCAUUUUUUUAUUUAUUUGAUGAAUCGAGUAUGCAGGCCGAUGUUAGAUCGGUUGAUCAUUGUCUUCAUUGAUGAUAUUUUGGUCUACUCUAAGACCAAACAACAACAAGAGGAGUAACUACAAGAGUAAAUUUGAGUGUUGAGGAAGGAGAGGUUGUAUUCCAACUUCUGCAAGUGUGAGUUUUGAUUAUAAGAGGUCCAAUUAUUAGGGCAACUCGUCAAUCAGAAUGGUAUUCUGGUCGAUUUGGCUAAAAUUGAGGUUGUUAUGCAGUGGGAGGUCCCGAAGCUUCCAUUUGAGAUCCUAAGUUUUCUUAGGCUAGCAGGUUACUAUCGAAGAUUUAUGCAGGAUUUCUCCAAGACUGUUGUUUUUCUCACUCGCCUGAUGAAGAAGAGUCUGGAUUUAUGUUGUGGGCCUAAGCAGCAGGCUACAUUUGAGACUCUGAGACACAGAAUAUGUGAGUCCCUGCGAUUGACCCUUCCAGAUAGUGUUGAGGACUUUGUGUUGUAUUGUAAAGCUUCGAUCAUAGGUUUAGAGGCGAUGCUCAGGCAAUGAGGUAUGGUUAUUGCACAUUCUUCUAGGAAUAGAAGCCUCACAAGGCUAGGCAUCUGACGCAUGAUCUAGAGUUAGGGGCAGUGGUGUUUUCUCUCAAGAUUUGGAGACACUAUCUUUAUGGUGUAUGAUGUACUAUAUACACGAACCAAAAACAGAAUGAGAUAUCUUAUAGACCAGAUGAACCUGAAUAUGAGGCAUCGUAGGUGGCUUGAAGUGGUCAAGGAUUAUGAUUAUGUGAUCCUUUACCAUCCAGAGAAUGUCAAUGUGAUCGUUGAUUCCUUGAUAUGCAAGAUGGCUAGUGCUCCUAUGUGAGGCUUAUGCUUCAGGAUGACCAUCAAUUCACUACUUCAAGAUUCGAACAAAGAGGCUCGGGAAGAAGGAAUCAAGAAGGAGAACUUGAAGAAGAGGAAGAACAUUGGGUGAUUGACUGAUUCACCACCGACGAUCGGGGGUUUUUGACCCAGUAUCGAUGUGUUUGGGUUCCAUUUUCCGGUGGAGUCUGUUGUUACAGGAGGCACAUAAGUCCAUGUUCUCGAGUCACCCAGGAGCUAUGAAAAUCUAUCGAUACUUGAGGAUUAGCUAUAGGUGGCCUAUCGGUUAGAUCUACAUGAGGAGUUGUGUAACAUCCCUAGCUUUUGCAGGUAUUUCCGAACCUUCUUCUAUCAUUAUGGGGUCAUAUGUAGUCCUUGGGGUUGGAAGUGUAGAGCCAAGAUAAUUUUAAGGGCCAAAGUUGCACCCUUCGAAUAAGAAGGAGUACGUUGCGCUUACAUACGCGUACGAUAAGCGUACUAAGGUCCGCCAUAGUACGCUGGGUGUAACUUGUGUACGUAGGGCGUACUAAUGUCUUGUUGAAACCCUAAUAUUUCGGGUUGGGGGUUAUAUAAACACCCUUGUGGCUUAUCUUCUCUCACCAUUCUCAGCCUCCAUCUUUCAAAAAUGUCCCAAACCCUAUCUUUGUGUGUGAGUGUGAGUUUGUGUGUGUGUUUUUUCAGCUCUUGAAGGUGAAGUCUUUGCAACAAGUAGUUGGAGAAGGAAUGCCAACUUAUAGAUCUGAAGUUUUCUUGUACUUUAGGAACUCCAAAAGGUAAAAAGCUUCUAGCUUGGCAACUGUUUUGAGUAGAUCUAGUAUUAUUUAGGUUCUUGGCACAUUUUUUGUCUCAAAAACCCCAAUAUGGUGCAUGAUGCAUCUUGGUCAUAUUAAGUUGUCCUUCCAGACCCUAGAAAGGGCCCCAAGUGAUAAAAAUGAGGUCCCAAUUGGUGAAUGUGUCCCAUCCAUGGAAUAAAAAGGUCUUAAUGGAUUAAGACCAAGUAUUAAGAGCCUUCUGGACGUCCAAAGUGAUAAAGUUCAUGAGUUUAUGGGUCCUAGGCACGUUAGGUCUCUGGAUCUAAAGUUUGGGCUUAAGUGCUUAAGAUAUUAAGCACUUAAUAAGAUUUUGGCAAGACACUGUGUACGCCCAGCGUAAAUCCAAUAUGCCUAGCGUACUGGGUCAACCACCCCGGUAGUGGUCAACAUAUGAGCGAGUACGCCCCGCGUACCAGAGGAGUACUGUAACACCAAAAUUUUCAAAGAAUUUUUCACAUUUUCAAAACAUACUUUCAUUCAUAAAUAUUAUAAAAAUUUCAUUGUAUCACAUACCAAUCCAUAGAAACUUAACCCUAAGAUCAUAAUGUAUAAAAACUCCUCAUGUGUGUAUUGAUCAUGUUGGCGCCUUCCCGCGAUCCUCACUGGUACCUGAAACACAUAACACAACAUUGUAAGCAUAAAUGCUUAAUGAGUUCCCGAAACUACCACAUAUCACACAUAAUAGCCACUCGAGGCUAUAACUCUAUGGACCCUCUAGUCCCAACUCUAUGGACCCUCUGGUCCUAACUGUGUGAACCUUCCGGUUGUAACUCUGUAACUCUGGAACAUACACGACAUGAAUCACAUAGAAAUAAUGCAGAGUAUCACAAUCACAUAAAUAACAUACAAGAUACUCUGUCAUAUACCUCUAAUUACCACUCCAGGUAAAGUAUAAUGAGAAGACUCACCUCGGGUAACUCGGUAAAUCUCAAACUCGGUAAAAUCUGGUCAAGCCCCUGCCUAAUCACAUGGAAUAAGAAGUGUAAUAAAUACAACCCUCAAGGCUAGAUUAAUCCCUCUCUUAGCAUUAUCAUAAGGGUAAAAGUCCAUUUUACCCCUCUCAUGGCUCAAAGACCCAAACAUUUACCAAACCCUAAAAGUUAACAAAAGUCAACUCUCCGGGUUACGCUGCGCGUACCAACCAUGUAUGUUUGGCGUAGCCAGCAACCUUACAGAAUCAGGGAACACGACCCCCUAUGCUGCUCGUACUGGGAUUACGCCUCGCAUAAAUCCCAGUUUCACGCUCCUUUGCUUUUGGGGUCUUAAACGGUUAAGACACACGUCCAACUCCCAGAUUUGACUACCCCUAAGCCUCUUAAUUCAUAAAGUUUGUGAAUUUAAGCCUUUGCAUGGCUAUGAGAGUCACCAACACCCAAAUCAUUCCACUUCUAACACUUUAAAGCCCAUAACUCAAAUAUGACUUCAUAAUGACGACUAAGUUGGGAUCUUUAUGGCUCAACAACACACAUAACACUGAAAUGGGACAUAUCUGUUGGGUUUUGAGCAUUCUAACACUCCUAAGUGUACAUGCAACCCUAAAUGCCUUGGAUCUAUGUUUUCUCUAUUACACAUGCAAAUAUGAAUAUUCCAAGGUGUUACCCUAUCUAGCAAACAAUCCUUGAUACUUAUGUAAUAUAACAAGUUAGAACACAUACCUUUUAAUGAAUCUUGAAGUCUUGAACUUUAAGAGCUUAGCCCCAAUAGUGUGGAAGCCUCAAGUGGAAUCACAAAUCACCAAAACACCUUGGAAGACUUUAGAGAAUAUGGAUACUUGGCUCAUACUUAUGAAAUUGGUUAUUGGCCUCUUUAGUGUAUCCACACUAGCCACUAGCCUAAUUUCAUGAACCAUAAGACCCUUUAUAUAGUGUGGAGGAAUAUGGUUAAACCCUAAUACCAUGACCUUUCAUUUCUUAUGAUCCAUGGGUGAAAGCUCCAUGGACUAUCCAUGAAUACUUAGCCCAACCUAAAUGAACUUGGCCCACUAUACAUAUAUAUCUAAGAGUCCAUAUUAAUUUAGUUCCUUUUGAUCACUUAAUUAAUUUUAAAUUAAUUCUUGAUCAAUACUAAUUAAAUAAUAUGAUUAUAUACUAAUAUAUUAGAACUUAUAAUAUAUUAAUAUAAAUCAUCAAUAUACUAUUCUCAAAAGACUAUCCAUAUAAAUUGUGUCGUUGAAGUGCAACCCAAAUGGACCAUGUCGGGUUGGGUCAAGUACAUACCAAAUAUAGUUAUGGACUUAAACAUUAAUCCAACAGUCUCCCACUUGGAUAAGUCUAUAACUAUUAUUGAGUAUGACUUCAAAAACCAACUGGCUAUCGUAGCUGUUAAAGCCGCUGUCGAACUCUAAUCUUGUCAAGGAACUCUAACCUUUGUAAAUUACUUGUCCAUUAGAUAAGGGAUCAUAUAUUCCUCCAUUCUAGAUAUCAUAUGGACUGAGACAUGGAUUAUAAUCACUCUCUCUGUCCAUUUGUUGUUUCCCGAUUUUCGAUUUAUGAUGACUGACUGAUUGAACAAAUCAAAUCAGUCAAGCACUCACAUGUGUCAUCACUAAAUCAUCUAGGGGCCCACAAAUAUCGCUUUUAUCCCGAAGGUAAAAGGAAUGGAUAAACUUUGACUCAUAUGGCUUGUUCUACUACUUGUUAAAUCAUACACAAAGGCACGUUUUAUAACAUCGAGUUACCAAUGCGGUUUUGUGCAAUCAUUGUACAACCAACUCAUAAUAACAACUCAUAUCUCUAGGUUUGAAGAAUAUAAGAUCUUAUCGUCUCAUGAUUACUCUUGAUAAAAUCCAUGAAGUGAUUGAAAUGAGCGUCGGUUGAAUCCAAUACUCAGAACUUAUGAGCACUCAUGAGUGUUGUAGCACAACUUUGUCCACCAACUUGGACCUCUACAAGCUAACCCAUGACAGUCUUGAUUCAUAUCUGCUUCCAACAUAUGACUGACUGUGGAUGGUUUGAAUAACUUAGUCAUUCCGGAAGAAUAACCUAGUUAUUAUGGAAGUCAAAACAUGCAAAGUGAAACACAAGCAUAAAUGAAUCAAAUAUGGUAUCAAACCCUAUGAAUAUAAAUAGACCACUUUUAUUUAUCAUCAUACUGAUUACUCAUUAUUCAUUGUUUCGGUUUUAUGAACUUUAUACUUGAAUUAAAAACACUGGUUGUCCUAUGCUCCAAGCAUGUACACUAUGUUUUUCUAAACAAUAGCUUUGCCAUACACCAAAUAUGCACUCUAUGUUUAUCUAUGAUCCUUACUUUGUGAACUAGAUCGAUUGAACAUAAUUUCAAUGAUUCUCUUUUAAACUUAUACGCAUUGUUCCUCUUGUAAUGAUUAUGCACAAAGCCACAAAGACUUGGCAACAAUCAUUAUAGAGUAUUCCAAUGGAGAGAAAUUCCAUGGAAACGAUUUCUCAAAUUCAAAGCGCAUUGCUUUGAACAUGCUUCUUGCAUUAUGUUUCUUUAACCUUACACAGAUUGCUUCCACCUAUGAAGACAGCUCUAUAUUCCCAUUUGACUACCACUUCUGAACAAGAGUUGCCUCUUUUUAGACUAUGUCAAUAUGGUCCUUCCAAUAUUAACAGUAUACUUCCAACUGUCCUUGAGCAACCAAUCUUUGGUAAACCUUAGAUUGUCCUCGACAAAUGCUUAAUCACUUUAGUGAUAUCCAAUUCUAGAAAUUUUCCUUUUUAAUGCCCUAAGGCAUUUGGAAAAUUCAGAAAGGAUAAAUAUUAUAGCACAUGUAAUCGAUCAUGUACCCAAAGUAAAUGGGACACGAUUCAUGAUGUUUCACAUAAAGACAUGGUUCUAGACCAGUCUUUGCCAUAAUAAUUUUUGUUUGCCAUAUUCUCAAAUUUUGACUAUGCAAAGGGAUGCCGUAAUCAUAAUCGAAUUUUGAGAACGCAAUAAAUAGAAUUUUCUUAAGUUGAACCAAUACAACAUGAAAUUCAUAUNAUAUAUAUAUAUUCUUGAGUAAAGGUGAUUAAAAUCUCAAUAUAAUCUCUUUGGAAUGAUUAUAAACUCAAUCUUAGCUUUUUAGAAUUGAAAUGAUGUAUAAUUUCCUCUCCCUUAAUAUAGCAAAACAACUUUUUCAACCCCUGCAACCUCACAAAUUGAAACUUUUGUUAUCUAUAAUUAACAUUGGUAACUUGCAAUACUUAUCAUAAUUAUUAUGCUCCUACUAACAUGAUUAUUAGCAUAACACUUAUGCUCCCACUGGCUUUGACAUGUAUCCAGAAAACAGUUGGACCUCUAGAAGUCAAUACAUUAUUUACAUUCUUACCAAAGUUCAUAUUUCUGAUACUAGAUUUCUUUGAUAAGACUUUAUCAAAAUCAUACAUCUUAUCUUAGAUAGAUCACUGGUGUGUCUAAACAACUUCAUUACUAUGAAAAGGGAUGCCAAAAUCAUAGUCUCAAUUGCUUAGACCUUUUGCCAUUUCUCAUAAGUCAAUGUUAGUGUGCCGGUUAACCACGCACGCUCCACUAACGACUUUGAGAACUGCAAAUAUCACAAUUGCUAUCUACUUAAAAUCUACUUAGUGAAAGAAUUUCCUCACCAUCAUUUUCAUGAAUUGGAGAGAAACCUUAUGACACUUAGAUUUUAUGGUGUUUGUGUUCUUAUCCAUGUGAAAUUUUCAAACCAAAAUCACAAUACUAGGUUAGUGACAAAUCCUAACUCAUAUGGAUUGAACUUGUGCAAUCUUAACUUCUUGCCACCUGGCAGCUCAAGGGCCUGACAUUGCUUCCAAGUAGCUAUGCAAACAAUUGAGAACAUGUAGAACUCAAAUGUAUAGCCAACUUAAUUGGAAUGGGCACAUAAAUAUCAACACGAUAGAUUAUAAACCUCUAGUUGUGUGCUAGUGAUGAAAUACAUGUUUUAUUUUUGAUUUUUUCUUGAAACCCUUUCAGGAUCUUUUAGACUCCCACUGUCUCCUUGACCUAUAAGACUUUCUUGCCUAAUAUUCAAGAGAUAGUGUGGAUUCUAAUCAAGAUAAACACUUAACACAAUUGGCCUAAGUUGGUCUCUGUUUUAUCCAAAACAUCACAACUUACCAAAUUCAAAUGUACAAGAGUAGAAAACCUUUUACUCUUACAUUUCACUAGUGCUAAUAAACCUUCUUUAAGAUGUGUCACUUAAGUUACAUUUGUGGUAGGCUUGAUCAGUGCACAAGAAUGUGUACUCGAUCCCUUAGUCCUUUACUUGACUCACACACCCAUGUGAACAAGUAAUUAGUCUUAAUUUUCCAAAGCUUGAAAGUUCUCAUUCAUCAUACUAUACAACUUGCAUGAUUCCAAGUUUCUAUCCAACUGAAACUUGGGUGAUGAGAAGCUUUCCUUAUUUGGAAAAUUUAGACACUACCACAAAUGAAAGAAUCAAAUUCAUAUUUCCACUCUUGCUAUUAAUGGAAUCAUAUAAGCAACAAUUUUUUUCCUUUUCACAAAUGCCAUUGUAAGGAUAUUUUAAAAUAAAUAAAAUCAAAUUUUUUUCCUUUUAUUUUAACAACUUUGCGGAAAAACUAUCCUUACAGUGCAAAAGCACAUGAAAAACUUUGUUGUUAUCACUACUAGAAAAAAAACCUUUUACGACGCUCAUUGCACGUUGUAAAAGGCUCAGACGACGCGCAAAUGCGCGUCAAGGAAGGCCCUGUCAUAAAGAGAGACGACGCGCAUUUACGACGCUCAUUUAUGACACGCAAUUACGACGCGUGUUUACGACACGCAAUGCGUAUCAAGGAAGGCCCUGUCAUAAAGGAAGACGACACGCAUUCGCGUGUCGUAACCUUACGACGCGCGUGUUAAUGACACGCAAUGCGUAUCAAGAAAGCCCCUGUCAAGAAAGGCCAUGUCAUAAAUGAAGAUGACACACAUUUUUGCGUAUCGUAAAUUUAGAUAUUUAAACAAAGUAUUAUUUAUAGAUUUACUAAUUUUCAAAUUAAAUAAUACAUUAAAAAUGUCAUAAUACAAAAUAAAAUACCAUAAAUAACAAAGAUAAUUCAUUUCACUAAUAGAUCAAAUACAAAUAAUUAUUCCAAAAGUAAGUAAAUGUUAUAAAAAAAAUGAACUCAUUUAUAUACAAUUGCAUCAUUUAGAUUACUAUGUGCUAACAACUCUUUGUGUGUUUACUUUUGCUUGAGUCUUGUUUCCUCCAAAGCUUCUAGCCAUGCCAAAAUAUGAUACCUAUUGAUAAGAUUAAGAUAUUUAUUAACCCAGUCCCCGCUUGCACCCACUUGCAGGCCUGACUUGGUUAUCCUCAAUAGUCAAUUCCCCACAACUCAUCUUUGAAACAAACUAAAGGAACUUGGAGUUCUGCAUGUUAUUUACCAAACCAAAUAAAUAAUAUCCUGAUUAUAGACUUAAAAAAAUACAUUUACCAAUUCAUAUUGACCAUGUCCACACCGAUAACAGCACCACAGGAUGGAAUUGGGCAUCUCAAAGUCAAACAUUCAGGACCAUCAUUGAUAUAUGUGCUCAUGUAAGCUACCAUCUUCAUUGGCAAAGCAUGCUUCAUGAACAUUGGUAACAUUCCUGCAGGGUUAUAUAGCAACUUGUUAGAUAGAAGAAAUUUAAAAUCUUGAUACAGAACAAUUUGUUAUUCACAAAAAUUAAACACUUUACCAGUUAAUAAGAAAGUAAAAUGGUUUCAAAAAAAUUGAAGCGUUAUUACCGUUCUCUUUCCUUCUUUACCAAAAUUGUGAUGUAUGCCAUAUGAAUAUUCUUUGUCAAAUCUCUCAGCUCCAACCUACAUUAUAAUUCUUUUAAAUGCUCCAGCAACAUGAAAAUAAUUCUUUCAAAUUUGCAAUUCUUUUAAAUGCUCCAACAACCGGAGUAAAGUACACGCUUCUUUGAAAACAAAGGCAAUACACGAACAAAUUUUGAAAGGAAAUUGGAACGCAAUUACAUAGCUACCAUUUUUUUAAGUAAAAAUUAGAUACAAGACUAAUAAACUACAAUUCUAUUGAAUUUAAAAAAGUAAAAUUUAGAUACAAGACUAGUAAACUAGAAUUCUAAUGAAUUUAAAAAAGUAAAAAUUAGAUACAAGACUAAUAAACUACAAGACUAAAAAAAUGGAAGGAUUUAUCUCUCAUUACCUCUUCAUGUUCAAUUGUCCGGCCAAAUGGAAUUAUAAUUUGAGACUCGAUAAACCUUGUGGGCCGCAUCUCGGGAUACCCAUACGGGUUAGCUUUAACUGAGGAAGCAGAUAAGCAUUCACAUUAAAAGCGGCCCAUUCUGAUUGAUGCUCCCGUUAAAAGCGGACCAAAACAGCCGGAGGUACAUUCUAGAACAAAAAAAAUUACAAGAAUAUAAGGCACUAACCAAAAUGAGGGGCAUUUUAGUCAAUACACAACACUCACUUGAAACAACAUCGAGGCCUUUUCACAAAGAACCCCUCCAAGAAACGAGAUGGAAUUUGAAUUCUUGGUUGAAUUAAUCAUGACAAUCACAUCCUCAGCACCAUCAUUUUAUGUCCCCAAGUGCAGUUAACUCAUUUUACGUUAGCAUUCAACUUGCUCUUUUCCCUGCACCAAGAAUUAUGUUUUUUUUUAAGUCAAUUCAAGUAAUUUACACACACAUAGACACACACACACACACACACACACACACACNAUAUAUAUAUAUAUAUAUAUAUAUCUGAAUGCAGUUGUUGUUACAGAUAUCCUUGCACCAAGAAUUAUGUAUUUUUUCUUUUCCCUGCAUCAAUACUGAAUGCAAUUUUUGUUACAGAUAUGUGCUUGAUUUAGUAGUUUGCAAUUGGGGUUUUCUUUUUCUCUCAAUUUAGUAGAGCAAAUCGCUUGUGCGUUGGAGAUCAAAUUAUACUCGGUUGAGUAAAUCAUCUAAAUUUUAGGAUGUUUGGCAUUAUCCAACCUCCUUUAACAAUAAGGUCAAUGCAGUUAACAAUCUAUAUUUUAGGAUGUUUGGCAUUAUCCAACCUCCUUGUGCGUUGGAGAUCAAAUUAUACUCAUUCAAUUGUAAUCACCCAUCCUUCUAGAUAAAACUGAAGAUAUAUAAAUGUAAUUUCACAUCCCCAACAGAUGUCAUCUUACCUGUUUAUGCAUCAUUUUAACCAUAAUCAAGAUAACUGACCUAAUUUUCUCUUUAUACAUUUUCAUAUCAGUUUACCUUCCUAAUUUUCUGAUUUGUUAAAUCUGUAGGCACAUGAGAUUGUUUAGUUUUCAAAGUACAUUAAAGAGAAGCUGAAAGAAAUACUCCAACAUAUAAUUUUAUAUUAUGACCUUAGAAGGAGAACUAGAUGAAAAACAUACCAUCUCAGCCACUUGUAGGACUUGACUAAACCCAAACCACGAGGAUGAAAACUGGGUCUUUAGACGCCUCUUUCCCCUACUGAAGCAGUGUGAUUAAAAAAGAAUUAAAAUAAAGAAAUUAAAGAAAACCUGGUGGUCAUCUAUGUAUAAAUCAGCCGGGUACAAAAGCAUCAACUUAUAUUAGGAAGAUUCUCCAUUUGUUCAUUAAAGACUUCAGCCCCUCUUUCCUGAAUGACAAUGCACUGAAUUUCACCAACUAAUCUAUAAGGAUAAAGAUAUUGUUGGGGAUAUUAGUUAUAGAUACUUAAGAAUGGAUGAAAUUAUGAAUUUCUUCAAGUAUUAGUUACUGUGAUGAAGUUAAAUGUGUACAAGUUCAUUGCAGAUAAUACCUCAGGCUAAGCAAGAUUGCAGAAAGUUAGAACUGUCAUUCGCAAAACAAGAGCACCAUUAGAAAAAGCAAAGAAAGAUUGCAGAAAGUUAUAACAAAAAAAAAGGAUUAUAGACAAACUAGUUUACCAGAUAUGCCCUCCCAUACAAGAAAACAUUGACUGCACCAAAGGAAGCUUUUUAAAAUCUUAAGUCACAAGGAGUGACCCAUUUGACAUACUAUUGUUGAUCUCACAAAAUAUUCUUUCAACUUUGAAAGUAAUAUCAGUGAGAAAUANCAUAACAUUGGCUACAAUCUCCUUCAAAAAAAAAAGGUUGUUGGUGUACUUGGGACAUCAUCUAUUGUUUGUUCAGAAACUGAGUCCUUUCCUUGUUAAUUAUUGAUUUGGGAGACUUGUACAUCCUCUGUGAUGGGUAAAUUGGUAAAUACUUGUAUCAGUUAACAAUCAUGACACCCAAAAAGUAACAAGUUUAUGAAUAAAUAAAAGAAAGUGUGACCCAAAAAGAAUAUGACCAAACCAAACCUUAUCAAUCCCUAAUACAUGAUCUGUGCUUGAUAGAAUCCUUUUCUUUUUCUGUGAAGUCAAAUACCUCAUGAAGAAAUUCAUUUUCCUGUACAAAUUGAAUCAAUCAUUUAUAUAGUAAUGUGUUAAAAAUAAACAAUAUUUUUCUAUUGUGAUCAUAGUUUUACAUCCUUAAAUGCACCAUUCUUUAAGUUGAAUGUAAAACAUAAAUAACAAAUUUUCUUGUCAGUGUUGUCAGUGUUGAGAAAAGGAAUGAAUUGCCUAAUCGAGACAAGUUGGGAGUCCCCAGAAAGUUCAGGCUCGGGGAUGGCACACUGUUGUACAGAUCUAUCGAUUGCUUGAAACAUCCAUCAUACAACCCAAGGAAAAUCUUUAAGAAAACUACUUUCUUUUGAUUCAAUAUCAUACAACUAGAUCUUUUUACAAAUGGAUCACUGCUAAUCUUAGUUUGUAUCAGAUCUUGUUAAGUUUAGUGUGAUUGUUCUUUUCUGGUAUAAAAAAGUUUCAGAAUUCAUAUAAUCCAGUUUGAUCAUGUCGGUAUAACAUGAUUCAGUAUUCAAAUGAAUUCAGAAUUUCAGCGGAAUCUUAUAAAUUGUUGAUUGUAUAAGGAAUUAAAGUAGAAUCCAAAAAAGUGGGAUGGGGUCAUACCUGUAACUUUGAGGCCACGAUGGGUUUAAGGAACUAGGUUUUCUUUGAUGUUGAGGGUUAUCGUCUGAAUAAUUUGAAAAUUCUGAAUCAUUCCCAUCGUCUUCACCUCUAAUGGAGUCCUUGUCUUCCUCAUAAUCUUCGCUCUUGAUGAAAAAGGCUUGAUCUGAUAUUGAAUUCUUCAUUUUCUCACAAAUUUCGUAGCCUUCUUUUCAGAUCUCUGAGACUUCAAAUAAAAUAGGUUAAUCUCGUGUAAGAUAAGCUUUAAACAAAAUCAACUCAUUAGAAUCAUAUUCAACUUCUAUAUUAAUCUAACCUAGGGCUUGUAAACUUGAACAAUCGUUGUACUCUUUGGUGAGGUGAAGUGAGCCCGAGGUCACCGGCGAAAACAGAUGAGUCGAGGUCAGAGGUGAGUUGAGGUAGAUUCGGUAGUGGUGGAGGCGGAUUAGGGUUUAUAGAGAAAAGGGGAAGGAGAGAGUGACGGUUGUCGGCUGGUGGCGUGCUUGCGUUGAUCGACGUCGACGACCGGGAAUGGCAAGUAAUGAUGGUCGAAGUAGGUGGGAAGAAGUAGGGAGCCGUCAAUUUCGGGAGGGGAAAGAAGGAGCGUCGAUAAUUAGGGCAAGAGGGAAAGUAAGAAAAAGGAAGGCGGGGUUUUUAAUUUUUAGAAUUUCAUUUCCCCCGCCCCCCAACUAUUAAAGGAUGGAACCGUGUUUCCAUUAAAAUUUAUAAAGCGACAUCUUCAGACGACACACAUUUUAUUAUAGGCACCCUCCGUGUUUUUUUGUUUAACACUAAUUUAAGGGCACACAAAAAUGCGCGUUCUAAAUCCUUAAAAUUUAUAGAGAGAUAGCAUUAUUUUUUGGUCACACACUUUUGCGUAUCGUAAAUCGGUGCGUAUCAUAAAUUGCGCGUCGUAAAAGGCUAUUUUUCUAGUAGAGUAUCUAUUCCUAAGCAAUAUAUCAUAACUCCUAAGCAACAGCUCAAAAUUCUGAUCACAGAACCAUGCGGUCGAGAUCCAUCUUCACGAUCAGAAUCAGCAUAUACUUCCUUUUAGUUUCUUCACUUUUCUUUAAUUCUGAAAACAUCAGCAUGUGACCCAGUCACAUCAUGUAACAAGAAUAUCAUAAUUGAAACUUAAUAGAGUUCACUUAGCCUUUCUCUUUGGGAAUGGUACAUGCGACUAUCGCAGACUUAGCCUUUCUCUUUACCAUUUGGUCAACCUAGUUGACUAUGGUCAAUCCCUUUCCUCGGGAAGAUAAGGCUUUUCUAGAUAUCCAACGUUACCAUUGUCAAUGUCCAUGGUAGUUUGGGAAGUUGAUCUACUAAUAAAAUUUGCUCUCCUAGUGCUCCAAAUUAUGGUUGAUUCAGCAGCACCAAGCAAAUAGAUAAGAUCAUUAAGGGUCAUGUCAUAGUCUGUUUCAUAAUAGACCCAAAGGAAUUCACUAUGUGACUUAGAAAGUGAUUGAACCACCAACUUUCUCAAGAGUUUGACACCCAACUCUCCCGGCUUGUCAAUAUGUGACUUCAUCUCCAAGAUGUGAUCACACAUAGACCUUGCUUGCCAAUAAGGCUUCAGUGACAUUGAACUUGUGGGUUAGGGAGAAUAAUUAGAGGAGGUGGAGGAAGUGAAGUUCCAAGAGAUUUGGGAGGAUCAUAGAUGUCUGAACCAGACAUCUUGUUGGGAGAUAUUCAAGAUAGUUGAUCUAAAGUCCUUAAUAUAACACCCAAUAUGAAAUAUUAUGGCUAGGACCCAGAAAACUAUUUUAUAACUUGGAAGAGGGAUGUCGUAAUCCAAGCUAUAAAAUAUUUGAAGGUAUGUGAAUGACGAUUCACCAAUUUCCACCAAGAUAAACGAAAUGUAUUAUUAGGUUUUAAUUGGUUUUGAAACUCCUAGAUUCUUUUGAGAUUCAUUGAACUUUUCAAAGGCAUGUUUCAAUCUCGAGUGUGCCCUUCAGGUUUUGUGACUGGGAUACCGAGGAUCACAAAACAAGGUGUGAAUAACCAUGCAAAUAUACUUGGUACCCUUAAUAUUUACCCCUCAAUCGAUGUGCCGGUUAACCACACACGCUCCAUCGAUACUAUGAUAAACAUUAAGUUACCCUUUGCCUACCUUGUUAAAUCAAGCUAGUGUGCCGGUUAACCACACACACUCCACUAACUGACUUAAGCAAAGUGCAAAGUGU